GUGCAGGGCGGCGUGCUACCAUGCAGUCGAACGAUGAAGCCCAGCUUGCUGGGUGGAUUAGUGGCGAACGGGUGAGUAACACGUGAGCAACCUGCCCCUGACUCUGGGAUAACAGCCGGAAACGGUUGCUAAUACCGGAUAUGCAUCAUGGCCGCAUGGUCUGUGGUGGGAAAGAUUUUUCGGUUGGGGAUGGGCUCGCGGCCUAUCAGCUUGUUGGUGAGGUAGUGGCUCACCAAGGCGUCGACGGGUAGCCGGCCUGAGAGGGUGACCGGCCACACUGGGACUGAGACACGGCCCAGACUCCUACGGGAGGCAGCAGUGGGGAAUAUUGCACAAUGGGCGGAAGCCUGAUGCAGCAACGCCGCGUGAGGGAUGACGGCCUUCGGGUUGUAAACCUCUUUUAGCAGGGAAGAAGCGAAAGUGACGGUACCUGCAGAAAAAGCGCCGGCUAACUACGUGCCAGCAGCCGCGGUAAUACGUAGGGCGCAAGCGUUAUCCGGAAUUAUUGGGCGUAAAGAGCUCGUAGGCGGUUUGUCGCGUCUGCUGUGAAAACCCGAGGCUCAACCUCGGGCCUGCAGUGGGUACGGGCAGACUAGAGUGCGGUAGGGGAGAUUGGAAUUCCUGGUGUAGCGGUGGAAUGCGCAGAUAUCAGGAGGAACACCGAUGGCGAAGGCAGAUCUCUGGGCCGUUACUGACGCUGAGGAGCGAAAGGGUGGGGAGCAAACAGGCUUAGAUACCCUGGUAGUCCACCCCGUAAACGUUGGGAACUAGUUGUGGGGGCCUUUCCACGGUCUCCGUGACGCAGCUAACGCAUUAAGUUCCCCGCCUGGGGAGUACGGCCGCAAGGCUAAAACUCAAAGGAAUUGACGGGGACCCGCACAAGCGGCGGAGCAUGCGGAUUAAUUCGAUGCAACGCGAAGAACCUUACCAAGGGCUUGACAUACACCGGGAAACGUCUGGGAAACAGUCGCCCCUUUUUGGGUCGGUGUACAGGUGGUGCAUGAUUGUCGUCAGCUCGUGUCGUGAGAUGUUGGGUUAGUCCCGCACGAGCGCACCCUCGUCUAUGUGCAGCACGUUAUGGUGGACUCAUGGGAUACUGGCGGGGUCACUCGAGAGGUGGGAUGACGUCAAUCAUCA
RNAcentral lists this ribosomal RNA (1137 nucleotides) under Microbacterium barkeri. Its description in RNAcentral is "bacterial SSU rRNA". It matches the Rfam family "Bacterial small subunit ribosomal RNA", at positions 33 to 1195 of the family's 1533-position model. Lineage: Bacteria; Bacillati; Actinomycetota; Actinomycetes; Micrococcales; Microbacteriaceae. The record is from RNAcentral.